This 584-nucleotide ribosomal RNA is filed under the name bacterium G500IX. RNAcentral describes it as "partial 16S ribosomal RNA". The record is from RNAcentral.
AGUGCUUAUUGUGUUAACUUCGGCACUGAAUAUCGCUACCCAACACCUAGCACUCAUCGUUUACAGCGUGGACUACCAGGGUAUCUAAUCCUGUUUGCUACCCACGCUUUCGUGACUCAGCGUCAGUUACAGUCCAGUAAGUCGCCUUCGCCACUGGUGUUCCUCCUAAUAUCUACGCAUUUCACCGCUACACUAGGAAUUCCACUUACCUCUCCUGCACUCAAGUUGUACAGUUUCAAAUGCUUACACAAGUUAAGCCUGUGCCUUUUACAUCUGACAUAUACAACCGCCUACUCACCCUUUACGCCCAGUAAAUCCGGACAACGCUCGCCCCCUACGUAUUACCGCGGCUGCUGGCACGUAGUUAGCCGGGGCUUCCUCCUUGGCUACCGUCAUUUUUUUCGUCACCAAGGACAGAGUUUUACGAUCCGAAGACCUUCUUCACUCACGCGGCGUCGCUGCAUCAGGCUUUCGCCCAUUGUGCAAUAUUCCCACUGCUGCCUCCCGUAGAGUCUGGACCGUGUCUCAGUUCCAGUGUGGCCGUUCACCCUCUCANGNCGGCUACUGAUCGUCGCCUUGGUAAG